UUCCYCCCUAAUUUUACUCUAAAAGACCCMACCUACUCUUACGUAGCAAAUUAGGGGUAAUUUAAAGGAGGUACAGCUCCUUUAAAAAAGAACACAAUCUCCCCUASAGGAUAAGUACUUUAUACACACACCUGUAGGCCCUCAAGCAGCCAUCAACAAAGAGUGCGUCAAAGCUCUACCACAUAAAAAUCCAAAAACACAUACGACUCCCUCACCCACAGCAGGCUAACCUAUAGAAAUAGGAGAAUUAAUACUAGAAUAAGUAACUAAGGAACCUCCUUCUAAAGCACAAACUUACAUACCACAUUAUUAACAGACCCAUAUAUAUCAACUGUCCCAAGACAAAAUAUUAAAUGUAACUGUUAAGCCAACCCAGGUGUGCUAAACUAGAAAGAUUUAAACCUGUAAAAGGAAMUAGGCAAACCAAAGGCCCGACUGUUUACCAAAAACACAGCCUUCAGCCGACCAAGUAUUGAAGGUGAUGCCUGCCCAGUGACACAAAGUUCAACGGCCGCGGUAUCCUAACCGUGCAAAGGUAGCGCAAUCAAUUGUCCCAUAAAUYGAGACUUGUAUGAAUGGCCAAACGAGGUCUUAACUGUCUCUUACAGGUAAUCAGUGAAAUUGAUYUCCCCGUGCAAAAGCAGGGAUGAACCCAUAAGACGAGAAGACCCUGUGGAACUUAAAAACCAGCAGCCMCUWCAAACCAAAAUCAAAACCUACCAGGGUUACUACCAAAAAUAAUCUGGCCUGCAUUUUUCGGUUGGGGCGACCUUGGAGAAAAACAAAUCCUCCAAAUAUAAGACCACCCAUCUUAACCAAGAUCAACCACUMUAAGUACUAAUAGUAACCAGACCCAGCAUAGCUGAUYAAUGAACCAAGCUACCCCAGGGAUAACAGCGCAAUCCCCCUCAAGAGCUCGUAUCGACAGGGGGGUUUAC
This 938-nucleotide ribosomal RNA is filed under the name Zapornia parva (little crake). RNAcentral's name for it is "partial 16S ribosomal RNA". It matches the Rfam family "Bacterial large subunit ribosomal RNA", at positions 1538 to 2521 of the family's 2925-position model. Lineage: Eukaryota; Metazoa; Chordata; Aves; Gruiformes; Rallidae. The record is from RNAcentral.